Molecule: ribosomal RNA, 675 nt
Filed under: uncultured bacterium
Lineage: Bacteria
Description: bacterial SSU rRNA
Rfam family: Bacterial small subunit ribosomal RNA
Source: RNAcentral
AGUCGAACGAUCAUUAUUGGGUAGCAAUAUUCGAUAGUGGGAGUGGCGCAAGGGUGAGUAACACGUGGGCAAUCUGCCGUGAAGCCUGGAAUAACUCGCUGAAAGGCGAGCUAAUGCCGGAUGUGAUUUCUGGAGGGCAUCUUCCGGAACUUGAAGCUGGGGACCGCAAGGCCUGGCACUUCACGAUGAGCCCGCGGCCUAUCAGCUAGUUGGUGAGGUAACGGCUCACCAAGGCUAAGACGGGUAGCUGGUCUGAGAGGACGACCAGCCACACUGGAACUGAGACACGGUCCAGACACCUACGGGUGGCAGCAGUCGAGAAUUUUUCACAAUGGGCGAAAGCCUGAUGGAGCGACGCCGCGUGGGGGAUGAAUGGCUUCGGCCCGUAAACCCCUGUCAUUUGCGAUCAAACCUUACGACCUAACACGUCGUGAGCUGAUAGUAGCGAAAGAGGAAGGGACGGCUAACUCUGUGCCAGCAGCCGCGGUAAUACAGAGGUCCCAAGCGUUGUUCGGAUUCACUGGGCGUAAAGGGUGCGUAGGCGGUCGGGUAAGUCUGAUGUGAAAGCUCGGAGCUCAACUCCGAAAUUGCAUCGGAAACUAUCUGGCUAGAGGAGUGGAGGGGAGACUGGAAUUCUCGGUGUAGCAGUGAAAUGCGUAGAUAUCGAGAGGAACA